CCUACGGGAGGCAGCAGUGGGGGAUAUUGCACAAUGGGCGGAACCCUGAUGCAGCGACGCCGCGUGGGUGAAGAAGGGCCUCGGCGCGUAAAGCCCUGUCAGCAGGGAAGCAAAUGACGGUACCUGUAGAAGAAGCCCCGGCUAACUACGUGCCAGCAGCCGCGGUAUUACGUAGGGGGCACGCGUUAAUCGGAUUUACUGGGGGGAAAGGGGGCGCAGACGGCGAUGCAAGCCAGGUGUGAAAGCCCGGGGCCCAACCCCGGGACUGCUGCUGAAACUGGGUGGCUGGAGUGCAGGAGGGGCAGGCGGAAUGCCUGGUGUAGCGGUGAAAUGCGUAGAUAUCAGGAGGAACACCGGUGGCGAAGGCGGCCUGCUGGACUGCAACUGACGUUGAGGCCCGAAAGCGUGGGGAGCAAACAGGAUUAGAUACCCCUGUAGUC
This 440-nucleotide ribosomal RNA is filed under the name uncultured bacterium. RNAcentral's name for it is "partial 16S ribosomal RNA". It matches the Rfam family "Bacterial small subunit ribosomal RNA", at positions 338 to 795 of the family's 1533-position model. The record is from RNAcentral.